AGGUUACUCAACAAUUGAUCUGCUCAAAGA
This 30-nucleotide non-coding RNA is filed under the name Mus musculus (house mouse). Lineage: Eukaryota; Metazoa; Chordata; Mammalia; Rodentia; Muridae. The record is from RNAcentral.